ACUGGUUCGCCCUGCCCGCCAGGCAGGCGCGUCGCAAGAGGGAACCCGGUGGAAAUCCGGGACUGCCCCGCAGCGGUGAGUGGGAACGACCGCCGUCAUACGCACUGGGCCCGGCCGGGUCUGGGAAGCGACGGCCAGUAGAUGUCCGCCUUCGGCGGACGUGCCCGCGAGUCCGAAGACCUGCCAGU
Non-coding RNA from Streptomyces decoyicus, 188 nucleotides. NCBI's taxonomy places the organism in Bacteria, Bacillati, Actinomycetota, Actinomycetes, Kitasatosporales, Streptomycetaceae. The record is from Rfam.